This is a non-coding RNA of Monodelphis domestica (gray short-tailed opossum), 1638 nucleotides long. NCBI's taxonomy places the organism in Eukaryota, Metazoa, Chordata, Mammalia, Didelphimorphia, Didelphidae. The record is from the annotation of a RefSeq genome assembly.
GCCUGCGCCCCUGAAGGGAUGGAAAAGGCCAUUUUAAUUGAGACCCCCAAAAAGAGAGUUCAAGGUAGCUCAGAAGCUUUAUGAUUAGCUGCAGUUGGGGAAAGUGGGUUGGUCUUUUGGUAUGGCUGAUUACACCACUCUGACAAUUUAGAAAUGUUAAAUGCUUUAUGAUAGGGCCUCAACUACUUCUAGUAGUCUUGGCUAGAAAAUCAGAACCAUUUUAAUUUGAAUCAUUCAUGUUAGCUAUCCCUUUGGGAAGAGGCUCAGCUUAAGCUGGUGUUUUGACUACAGGUAAACAAGAUGGGGAUCCAGGCUUAAAGCGGUUUGGAAGCAGAUGCCCCUGGGGCUAGGAGUGAUCACAUUAUUUAACUAUACCUUUGGCUUGGCCUAUGACAAACUGGAAAUCAUUCUCUCUGAGGCUCCAGGAGUCUACUUAUAACCAAGAGCCAUAGCUAUUUCUUUCCUAUAGACAGGAAGAUAUGCAAAUAGGGCCCCUCCCUCUCGUGAAGAAAAGUAGACAGCUUAGCCCCUCUGUACUAUUCUUCUCAUUCUGUCCCCAGGACUGAACCAGAGUCCUCAUCAUGGACUUUAGGCUAAACUGGUUUUUCUUUCUAAUAACUUUACAAGGUGUUGACAGUGAGGUUCAGCUGGUGGAGACUGGGGGAGAUGUGAGGCAGCCUGGGGGCUCUCUUCGACUCACUUGUACAACUUCUGGAUUUACCUUUUCCAACUACUACAUGCAUUGGAUACGACAGGCUCCAGGCAAGGGGCUGGAGUGGGUUGCUGUAAUAAGAAACCCUGCUAAUGGUCUUACUGCAGAAUAUGCUGAGGCUGUGAAAGGCCGAUUCACCAUUUCCAGAGAUGAUGCCAGUAAGAUGGUAUACUUGCAAAUGAACAGCUUGAAAACUGAGGACACAGCAAUAUAUUAUUGUGCAAAAGACACAAUGAGAGGAAGAGAAUGUUAACCCAUACACAAACUUCUUAAAGAACAUGUCCUAGGAGAAAUGUAGGGCCAGGAAAUCAUUUUGAUGACAGAUGGAGAGCAAGGAUAAGAACAUAUUCCUUUUCUGGGUCUGAGGUUUCCUUUUCUUAAGAGCAAACAAUCCCUCGGGGCCAUUUAUCAUCUCCUUGCUUCAAUGACUUGUUUCUUUGAGUCUUAGAAAUACAUUUUUCACAUAGAGGUAAUAUUUUUACUCAGAUUCACAGUCAGUUCUCAUAAGGAGGUCAAUGCCAAUAUCUCCUUUGGUCAUUGGGUUGAAUAACUAGGCUUGCGUGGUCUAGCUAUGUACUUUUGACUUAGUUUGGACAUCCUUUGAUUUUAUCUAUUUUAUGUGGGACCUGGGAUCGAAGUUAAGCUGUGGUCAUUUAGUAACUGUUGUAGUACUCUAUAGUAAUUGAGAAAAACCCAUUGGCUUUCAAAAUUAUUUUUUAUUUUGUUAAAUAUUUCUCAAUUAUUUCAAUUUUUGGUAAUAAUCACUUAAAAUUUUUGAGUUCCAAAUUCUUUCCUCUCCUUCCCCUCACUACUCCUUAAGAAGACAAACAAUUUGAUUUCAGUUAUACAUGUCAGGUGAAGCAAAAUGUAUUUCCAUAUUAAGCAUGUUGCAAAAGAAAACACAAAAUAAAACAAAAAUAAUUUUC